AUAAAUACAUGGUUGAAUGAUAGAGAUGUGUAAUU
Molecule: non-coding RNA, 35 nt
Filed under: Trypanosoma brucei brucei
Lineage: Eukaryota; Euglenozoa; Kinetoplastea; Trypanosomatida; Trypanosomatidae
Source: RNAcentral